RNAcentral lists this long non-coding RNA (762 nucleotides) under Marmota monax (woodchuck). The record is from RNAcentral. Lineage: Eukaryota; Metazoa; Chordata; Mammalia; Rodentia; Sciuridae.
GGACCAGGGGCGAUGUUGGGCGCUGCACGGAGCUGGGGACGCCCGGAAGGCGUGCGUGUGUCCGUGGUCCUGUUGCUGUCCCAAGUGCCCUCCUCAUCCCCCAAGUGAUGGGAACAAGGGCCCGCCCAGGCAGUCGCUGUCGCCGUACCGCCCCCUCGCUCGCCUCCUGCGCGCGGAGUCACCCAGGCACACCCCCGGCACCCCGAGCCGGUGCUCCGGAGCUGCAGCCGCUAUCUUGACUGCCAUCGCCGCCUGCGCGGGUGGCCAGCUGCUGGCUUGGCUCGCCUGUACACGGAGAAACACUUUUUGGCUCUCCUUAAUCCGGUCUCACACCCCAACUUUGCCGCCCCGCGCCUGCCCUCUCAGCGGCGCUCGGGCACACGUUGUGGGGGCGCACGCAGGGAGGCUCAGUAAGACGGUGGAGGCAGGAAACGGCACAACUGAUCCUCUGCUUCGGCUCUUUGUUGUUCGGUUUGGAUGGUCCUUGGAAGUGGCUGAGCCUCUUCGGAAACCCGGGGGCCGGAGAAGACAAGCCUAGGAAUUCUUCCUUUGCAGAGGGCUCUUGAGAUAUUGACAAUCGUCUGGAAGGGUCGACAAGUAAUUGCCCAGAAAACUCCUGGCGGAUUGACCCACGUUGCUUAUAUUAAGCCUUUGUGUAGGUUUGUGUGGUUGUGUGGCUUCAUAAAUUUGGGAACCCCAUUUCUACUCCAUUCUCUUGGCAUGAGAUUGUAUGCAGGAUCCACCCGAGGACAAUGAUCGCGG